This 380-nucleotide unclassified non-coding RNA is filed under the name uncultured Micrococcaceae bacterium. Its description in RNAcentral is "contains 16S-23S intergenic spacer region". The record is from RNAcentral. Lineage: Bacteria; Bacillati; Actinomycetota; Actinomycetes; Micrococcales; Micrococcaceae.
UCCGAGUUGACCCCGGCAGUCUCCCAUGAGUCCCCACCAUAACGUGCUGGCAACAUGGAACGAGGGUUGCGCUCGUUGCGGGACUUAACCCAACAUCUCACGACACGAGCUGACGACAACCAUGCACCACCUGUGAACCAGCCCCAAAGGGGAAACCGUGUUUCCACGGCGGUCUGGCACAUGUCAAGCCUUGGUAAGGUUCUUCGCGUUGCAUCGAAUUAAUCCGCAUGCUCCGCCGCUUGUGCGGGCCCCCGUCAAUUCCUUUGAGUUUUAGCCUUGCGGCCGUACUCCCCAGGCGGGGCACUUAAUGCGUUAGCUACGGCGCGGAAAACGUGGAAUGUCCCCCACACCUAGUGCCCAACGUUUACGGCAUGGACUAC